This 992-nucleotide long non-coding RNA is filed under the name Sus scrofa (pig). RNAcentral describes it as "lncRNA (ENSSSCG00065004587.1)". The record is from RNAcentral. Lineage: Eukaryota; Metazoa; Chordata; Mammalia; Artiodactyla; Suidae.
GGCAAAUCAUGGGUCUGUUAUGCACACUGUAUCAGGGUAGAGUUUGAAGGAACAUGAGCAGUUCGAUUGUAUCUAUUUCCAUCUUGUUUUGCUCUGCAGAAUGACUGCCUGAAUAAGAAAUUCCAUGGGAAAUCACGAGAAAGAGCUAGAAUCAUAUAUACAAAAUACCAUUUGGCACCUUAAGGAAUGGGUUUGGAACAACUGGAUAUACUUCCACCCCAGGAAUUUCCAGGACAUCUGAAAUAACUAUUUCCUACAUGAGCGUCUUUCCCUCCCACCUCUUCUCUGCAAUCCCUAGAUUUAAGGGAUUAAUUACUGGGCAGACCAUACAUCAGUAUCUCUGGACACCAGGAAACAGCCUAUAUAGAAUUGGAAGAAGAGAGAGAAGGAAAAUGAGCAGCUAAAUUGUGGUCACGAAAUACAAGACCCUAUGGAGAAGACUCCCACAGCUGAGACUGUCACACAGGAGCCACAUGCUUGUCAUGGCUGCCUAGGAUCUGCUGUUCCUGACAUGUUCUUGUUUUAGAAUGUGAGGGGGUGGAGGCAAAGAGUGAAAGGUGACUGGGAGGUAAGAGUCACACAAGUUUACCUGAGUGAGAGCAGCAAAGUGUUCGUGGGAAGUUAGGUUGCGAAAAGGAUAAAGCCAGAUGGCAGGACCUCAACUUCCUGGAGGCCAUGUUUUUCUGGAAAAGAAGCCUUUGCAGAAACAAAUGAGGUUGACAGAGAAAGUCUCAGCAAUAACAAUUUUCGUGUCCAAGGCUGUGGCAAUUUGUUGAUAAUCUGUGUUAAAAAAGAAAUUUGAGUUUCUCAAGAGAGAAGGCUGAGAGGAUGUCUUAAUUACUAUCUUCAGUGUAUGAGGGAUGGUUAUAGGGUUUGGAAGAUGACAACCAGCUGUUCUCUGUCUCCAAAAAAGAAAAACAAGAGAACAUGAAAUUGCAAAGUGGCACGGGCUUAGACUGGAUAGGAGAGAGAGCAUGGUUAUUUAAUAUAUA